Molecule: long non-coding RNA, 341 nt
Organism: Neodiprion fabricii
Lineage: Eukaryota; Metazoa; Arthropoda; Insecta; Hymenoptera; Diprionidae
Exons: 3
Source: RefSeq, a predicted model, not a curated record
CCCAUAAUAGACACCUGCGAUAAGUAUAGAGCUAUCAGGAAUAUUUAUUAUUCAGAACUGGAUAGGCCAAUACUGAGUUGAACAGUCUUUUGCGCCAGCAGCUCCACCAGUACUAACAUCGAUUUCUAAGAUAUUAGUCCCAAUCAAUAUUCUUACAUCUUCUGGACGAGAAGCCAAACAGCAAUGUGAUCUGAGAACUAUAGCAUCUGAAUUUGAACACCCAUGUUCGGAAGAAUUAUCUUUCGCCUCGCGAGCUAAGUUAUUCCACGUAACUGAACUUUGCGGUUCGUAAGGAGGACUGUCAUUUGGUAAAAUAGAUGCUACAACGUUUCCAUUAUUCA